RNAcentral lists this transfer RNA (79 nucleotides) under Bacillus subtilis. RNAcentral's name for it is "tRNA-Val". It matches the Rfam family "tRNA". From Rfam's summary of the family: Transfer RNA (tRNA) molecules are approximately 80 nucleotides in length. Their secondary structure includes four short double-helical elements and three loops (D, anti-codon, and T loops). The record is from RNAcentral. Lineage: Bacteria; Bacillati; Bacillota; Bacilli; Caryophanales; Bacillaceae.
GGAGGAUUAGCUCAGCUGGGAGAGCAUCUGCCUUACAAGCAGAGGGUCGGCGGUUCGAGCCCGUCAUCAUCCUCCACCA